CAAACUAGUCUCACAAAGUUAUGGCAUACAAGACUCAACUAUCUCCUAACCUAUAACCCUAAUACUCGGCCUCCACAUGUUCCUAUCAAGUGUCAUGUCCUCGAAAAUCUGAAGCCUCGCCAUAUCCUUCUUAAUCACCUCCCCUCAAUACUUCUUAGGUCGCCCUCUAUCUGUUUCAUUACCUCCACAACCAGCCGUUUGCACCUCUUUAUCGGAGCAUCUGGGCUUCUCCUAUGAACAUGCCCAAACCACCUGAGUCUUGCUUCCCAUAUCUUGUCAUCAAU
RNAcentral lists this long non-coding RNA (284 nucleotides) under Nicotiana benthamiana. RNAcentral's name for it is "long non-coding RNA (NBEN_LNC022163)". Lineage: Eukaryota; Viridiplantae; Streptophyta; Magnoliopsida; Solanales; Solanaceae. The record is from RNAcentral.